GAUGAACGCUGGCGGCGUGCCUAAUACAUGCAAGUCGAGCGAACGGACGAGAAGCUUGCUUCUCUGAUGUUAUCGGCGGACGGGUGAGUAACACGUGGAUAACCUACCUAUAAGACUGGGAUAACUUCGGGAAACCGUAGCUAAUACCGGAUAAUAUUUUGAACCGCAUGGUUCAAAAGUGAAAGACGGUCUUGCUGUCACUUAUAGAUGGAUCCGCGCUGCAUUAGCUAGUUGGUAAGGUAACGGCUUACCAAGGCAACGAUGCAUAGCCGACCUGAGAGGGUGAUCGGCCACACUGGAACUGAGACACGGUACAGACUCCUACGGGAGGCAGCAGUAGGGAAUCUUCCGCAAAGGGCGAAAGCCUGACGGAGCAACGCCGCGUGAGUGAUGAAGGUCUUCGGAUCGUAAAACUCUGUUAUUAGGGAAGAACAUAUGUGUAAGUAACUGUGCACAUCUUGACGGUACCUAAUCAGAAAGCCACGGCUAACUACGUG
RNAcentral lists this ribosomal RNA (497 nucleotides) under uncultured bacterium. RNAcentral's name for it is "partial 16S ribosomal RNA". It matches the Rfam family "Bacterial small subunit ribosomal RNA", at positions 28 to 507 of the family's 1533-position model. The record is from RNAcentral.